Molecule: ribosomal RNA, 779 nt
Filed under: uncultured Ralstonia sp.
Lineage: Bacteria; Pseudomonadati; Pseudomonadota; Betaproteobacteria; Burkholderiales; Burkholderiaceae
Description: bacterial SSU rRNA
Rfam family: Bacterial small subunit ribosomal RNA
Source: RNAcentral
ACUGGGCGUAAAGCGUGCGCAGGCGGUUGUGCAAGACCGAUGUGAAAUCCCCGAGCUUAACUUGGGAAUUGCAUUGGUGACUGCACGGCUAGAGUGUGUCAGAGGGGGGUAGAAUUCCACGUGUAGCAGUGAAAUGCGUAGAGAUGUGGAGGAAUACCGAUGGCGAAGGCAGCCCCCUGGGAUAACACUGACGCUCAUGCACGAAAGCGUGGGGAGCAAACAGGAUUAGAUACCCUGGUAGUCCACGCCCUAAACGAUGUCAACUAGUUGUUGGGGAUUCAUUUCCUUAGUAACGUAGCUAACGCGUGAAGUUGACCGCCUGGGGAGUACGGUCGCAAGAUUAAAACUCAAAGGAAUUGACGGGGACCCGCACAAGCGGUGGAUGAUGUGGAUUAAUUCGAUGCAACGCGAAAAACCUUACCUACCCUUGACAUGCCACUAACGAAGCAGAGAUGCAUUAGGUGCUCGAAAGAGAAGGUGGACACAGGUGCUGCAUGGCUGUCGUCAACUCGUGUCGUGAGACGUUGGGUUAAGUCCCGCAACGAGCGCAACCCUUGUCUCUAGUUGCUACGAAAGGGCACUCUAGAGAGACUGCCGGUGACAAACCGGAGGAAGGUGGGGAUGACGUCAAGUCCUCAUGGCCCUUAUGGGUAGGGCUUCACACGUCAUACAAUGGUGCAUACAGAGGGUUGCCAAGCCGCGAGGUGGAGCUAAUCCCAGAAAAUGCAUCGUAGUCCGGAUCGUAGUCUGCAACUCGACUACGUGAAGCUGGAAUCGCU